AGUGUGUUUCCGUGUACCACUACUUGCUAUUAGUCAACUUGUUGCAUUUGCAAAUUUGCGAAUCUUUUUCAACAUUAUUUAGUCUCACUAACAAUUGCAUAUAUUUUGUCCACCAUCCUCACUAAGCUCCACCAAAGGCUUUAUUUGUGUAGGUGUGAGAAAUCGACGAGAUCCGAUACGAAUUGUGUUAUUUCCUUGUUACACUAUUGAGUGAUCAUUGAUCCAUUUUCAACAUCUGGUAAGGUACAUUUGGUCUAGUUCUUUUCAUAUGGAUAGGCUAACUACUUCUUAGAAUCCACUCUUCAUCGAUCAAGAUGAGGACCCAAACAUCUACGUCACCAAGAACCACCUCUUCGGCACACAAAGAGAUUUGCAUCGAUGUGGCUGCCAUAUCUGUUCCAAGCAGUGCCCGCUUGUAUGACUUGUUGUAUUCAUCGUUAUUAUAACGUUGGUCAAGAUUAAUAAGGCUUAGGAGCAUUAUAUUUGAGUGUCAUGAAGGGUACUUGGUGCUUUUACUAUGUUACGCACUUGAUGCCAACUGAAGAUUUAAGACUCGUGAAUAUGCUCAAGGGUAGAAAACUGUGCUACAAAGAAAUGAUGUGAGCUUCAAAAAGGUUGGUGCGCCAUCUAGAAAAUGGAAACAGAAACAUAUUAUAUGCUUUUUGUAUGCCAAUCUGCCUCUAAACCAGCUAGACACACCACUAUAGAGAAUCUGCGCAAAACAGAGCAAGCAGGGAGGCGUGAGGGGGAAACCACAUGACCCUUCCAAGAUGAAUAUUUGAGUGCUCUUGUUUGAAAUUUUUUGUUCACGGGAGCAGGCUGACACCCGUAGUUGUUUGGCAUCAAAUUCAAAAGAUACACAUCCUAAGAUUGAAGCAAUGCUACCUGAACCAAAGGGUUGUACGCCCACCAUUAUUAAUAUUCCAUACUAUUCGUGUUCUUCAGAUCCCAAUAAUUUAUUCGGUCUUGCUUUUGACAUAAAACACAAGUACAGGCAGAGAGAAGACGAGGUCGAACCCCAACAACGGAAGGUAUCUUGGCACAAAACCAUCAUGAGGAGAAGGGGAUGUGUUGCUGUACAUGAGGUGUUAAUAAAGUUUCACAUUCUUUGUUCUGGUAGAUUUGGUGUGUUGGGUUGCCAUGUUUGCUGUAUUUAUUUUCCUUAGAUUGCUCCGGUGUUUUUGGUGCAAAUUGAUCAGGGAGGGCCUAGGAUUUUGUCAAGUUUUUGUCAGGUUAUUCUAUGUAUAGGAUUGCGCUUCUAUGUGUUGUUUCCUUCAAACUGUCAUUGCAACAAAAGAUGAAGGGUGUCUUCGUGAUCAGUAGACCAGUGUGUGAUACCGCCUGUUGUAGUUCUAUUGCUAUGCAUACAUGGGCAAUAAAUGCAAGUAAUAUAGUUUUGAUGAUGUCUGAGUGUAUCUUGUGUAUGUGCAGAUAAGCAGCCCUGUUCAGAAGUGCUUUAUAGAGGUCCUGUAAGCUUUCUAGACAUACAUGUUGUUUCCAGUCUCUCUCGGCUUCCCCAAUCCUAGAGGAUUGGGAGGGGAAUGCAUUUUCCAGUGCCUCAAUUUUUGGUUACUUGUGGAGAGUAGAAGAAGAAUUUUGAGGAAGAGUGUGAUUAAGAAGCCCAAGAUCAAUACAUGGUGUUGGUCGUGUGAACAGAGGUUGUUCUUCGGGCCUCUAUAUGAGCUAGCUGUAAACCCCCCCAGGCCAUUUAAACCCCACAUGUCAGAGAUAGCGGUGGGGGGUAUAUGAUCAAGGAUUUGCCAACAAGGGGGGUUAUCGUCAAUUAUCCAGGUAGAAAUCAGUGGUUGUGCUUAAGCUUCUGUUCUUUAUUUAACUUUGAGGCAUAAAUUCAAAUGAUUAGUAUAUGCAUAGCAGUUUAAUGCAAGUGAUAGUUGUGGUAAAGUAGAAUCCAAGAUCGAGGAAGGUGUCGAGGGGAGCACAUCAAAUUCUAUCAAAGUAAUUAUCAACAAUGCUACUCUGAAUUAUAGUGGCAGCUGGUCAAUAUCAUGAACUUUUCCACUAUGAUUUGUUUUAUUAUUAUUAUAUAAUGUGUGGAUCAACUUCACGGGACAAAGAAGCCUAAUGCUCCUCAUGGACGAGGUUGACAGUAUAUAUGAUGGUGGAAUGUGACAAAUGUGACCGGUAAUACUUCGACUGUAUCUCAAAGCUUGUGUAGUGGGAGCAUUUCAGUGUACAUAAUGCUUCAUGGGAUAUGUAAAUUUUUUAUUGUCUGAAAAUAUGAAUGCCCAUGAUCUCUGCUAGAUCUAAUUUUAACCAUCAAUCUGAUAUUUUAUUUGCACAAAGGAUGAAUUUUCCGGCAGCGUGGAGAGCCCUAUAUAUUGAUGACCAGCUGCCUCAGAUUUACUUGUGAGCAAUUCAUAUAUCAUGAUCUACCAUUUUGUUUUCUUCUAGACCAAGAUUGAUUAAUGUUAUUCAUCAUCAGUGUUUCAGUUUCAUUAGUCCUCACAUGAACAUGUUGAUUUCUAAUUUCUCCGCACAUAAAUAUGUAAGACAUAUUUGUACCUUUUCCCUGUAGGUAAGCAGAACAGGGCAGGGCUCACAUUUACUUUCUAACGUAAUGAGUGUGCUAUUACCUGUUGAUACUUGACAUUAGUGAUCAGCUUGAUGCAAGCUUUUGUGUCGAUUACUUUCUGCCUUUUUUGAUAACCAUUAUUAUUUUUAAUUUUUUUCUAUUGUGUUUUUUUUGCUUCCUUUUUCUGUCAAACUCUCAUGUGGUACUAUUUGUCAAGCAUUGAUAUUGUUUUCACGUACAAUUCAUUAUUUUUUGCUCAUUUAAUUAGAUGUUCAAAAAUAUGAUAAAUGUGGGGCCUUGGUGCUAGAUGAGAUACUGACUUGUACUACAGGAAGGGAAAGUAAGCGACCGUUAUCAUUCACUUGCACUAUAUAUCCUAAAUCUGUAUAGUUAGUUUCACUUCUGUUUAUAUGCUGGUUAGUUGCACUAUAUGAUAUAGCUAGCUAUGUAGUUUUAUUUAUAAAGUCGGUACAAAUAAGCUACUGCAAGCUUCAUUCGUAGCUUUCUUUUGAUGUAAGUUGAUGCUUUUAGUCCAUCAUGCUUCCCAUUAUCAGGCUUGAUACGCCUGAGCCAGUUAUGUAUAAAGACGCCAUUUAAGUAUCUCCUUGCACUGGUAUGCCUGGACCAUAAUGUUACCAGGAUCGAUAAAAUAUGCCAUGUAAGUAUAAUGGUUUUAAAUUUUAAUUCUUGGUUUGCUUUGGCUACUUGCACCAGUUGCACAAGCAGCCUCUGUUUUUAUUCCACAUAAAUCCAAGGACAAUGUAUUUUGACCUUCUAUCUUUGUUCAACUGCAAUAUCUCAAAUCGAAAGACACAAAUUAUUUUGAAUGGUAACUAAUUGGAUACAAGCACGAGUGAGCCAAGGGAUCGUUGACUCCCUAGCUGUCUUUCCCGGUUUCACUCACUGCCAGAGCAAGAAUACUAUUUUUGAUGGGGUUUGUUCUGGAAACGGAGACAACAUAUCUCGAUGCAAAAUGCUUCAACCGUCAGGUUUUUAUGUUAGCCAUUAUUAGGUUUACGAAAAAGUAUUUCACUACUACCAUGCUUCUAUUCUACAUGUUCUUUUUGCCAUAGGAUGCAUGUGACAUCAUUAGUAUUAAGUAUGAG
Triticum dicoccoides is the source of this 3639-nucleotide long non-coding RNA. RefSeq lists it as uncharacterized. The transcript is spliced from 3 exons. NCBI's taxonomy places the organism in Eukaryota, Viridiplantae, Streptophyta, Magnoliopsida, Poales, Poaceae. The record is from RefSeq and is a predicted model, not a curated record.